GCCUUCGGGGUGUAAUGGUCAGCAUGAUGGGCUCGUAUUCGAGAUGUCUGUGGUUCGAGUCCCAGCGAAGGCA
Molecule: transfer RNA, 73 nt
Filed under: Stegodyphus mimosarum
Lineage: Eukaryota; Metazoa; Arthropoda; Arachnida; Araneae; Eresidae
Rfam family: tRNA
About the family: Transfer RNA (tRNA) molecules are approximately 80 nucleotides in length. Their secondary structure includes four short double-helical elements and three loops (D, anti-codon, and T loops).
Source: Rfam by way of RNAcentral